GGAGCCGUAGUGUAGCGGUUUAACAUGUCGGCCUGUCACGCCGAAGAUCGCGGGUUCGAAUCCCGUCGGCUCCG
This 74-nucleotide transfer RNA is filed under the name Thermanaeromonas sp. C210. It matches the Rfam family "tRNA". Rfam says of the family: Transfer RNA (tRNA) molecules are approximately 80 nucleotides in length. Their secondary structure includes four short double-helical elements and three loops (D, anti-codon, and T loops). Further hydrogen bonds mediate the characteristic L-shaped molecular structure. tRNAs have two regions of fundamental functional importance: the anti-codon, which is responsible for specific mRNA codon recognition, and the 3' end, to which the tRNAs corresponding amino acid is attached (by aminoacyl-tRNA synthetases). tRNAs cope with the degeneracy of the genetic code in two manners: having more than one tRNA (with a specific anti-codon) for a particular amino acid; and 'wobble' base-pairing, i.e. permitting non-standard base-pairing at the 3rd anti-codon position. The record is from Rfam by way of RNAcentral. Lineage: Bacteria; Bacillati; Bacillota; Clostridia; Neomoorellales; Neomoorellaceae.